GCUCGGUUACAUCUCUUUUUAUAGAGAGAAAGGAAGAGAGGAAGCCCUAACACAUGAGCCAAGACUGAGAGUGACAUAAAGAGAGCGUUUUUGUCUUGUUAAGAGCUGAAAGUGACAGCUCAUAAACGGUCACAUGUGACUAAAGUCACAUGUGAGAGCAGACUUGAAUUUGAAUUCGUUUCCCUCCUCUUCUUGUCACUUAUGGGCCUUAUUCCUUGCAUUCUUUAGGCUUUCUUGGCGUCC
This 243-nucleotide long non-coding RNA is filed under the name Eutrema salsugineum. RNAcentral describes it as "long non-coding RNA (ESAL_LNC001900)". Lineage: Eukaryota; Viridiplantae; Streptophyta; Magnoliopsida; Brassicales; Brassicaceae. The record is from RNAcentral.